AUGUUCGGUUAAGUCCGCUAACGAGCGCUAACCCUCGCUGUGUGUUACAAGUGUCACACGGAACUGCCGGUCAUAAACCGGAGGAAGGUGGGGAUGACGUCAAGUCAGCAUGGCCUUUAUAUCCUGGGCUACACACACGCUACAAUGGGAAGGGACAAUAGGUUGCGAAGCCGCGAGGCGGAGCCAAUCCAGCAAAAACUUCCCUCAGUUCAGAUUGCAGGCUGCAACUCGCCUGCAUGAAGUUGGAGUUGCUAGUAAACGCAGGUCAGCCAUACUGCGUUGAAUACGUUCCCGGGGCUU
RNAcentral lists this ribosomal RNA (300 nucleotides) under uncultured Anaerolineaceae bacterium. RNAcentral describes it as "bacterial SSU rRNA". It matches the Rfam family "Bacterial small subunit ribosomal RNA", at positions 1072 to 1382 of the family's 1533-position model. The record is from RNAcentral. Lineage: Bacteria; Bacillati; Chloroflexota; Anaerolineae; Anaerolineales; Anaerolineaceae.